Molecule: long non-coding RNA, 1754 nt
Filed under: Salmo salar (Atlantic salmon)
Lineage: Eukaryota; Metazoa; Chordata; Actinopteri; Salmoniformes; Salmonidae
Description: lncRNA (ENSSSAG00000097167.1)
Source: RNAcentral
GUGGCCUCCAACUGCUUUUAAAUGCUAGUAAAACUAAAUGCAUGCUCUUCAACCGAUCGCUGCCCGCACCCUCCCGCCCGUCCAGCAUCACUACUCUGGACGGUUCUGAUUUAGAACAUGUGGACAACUACAAAUACUUAGGUGUCUGGUUAGACUGUAAACUCUCCUUCCAGACUCACAUUAAACAUCUCCAAUCCAAAAUUAAAUCUAGAAUCGGCUUCCUAUUUCGCAACAAAGCAUCCUUCACUCAUGCCGCCAAGCAUACCCUCAUAAAACUGACCAUCCUACCGAUCCUUGACUUCGGCGAUGUCAUUUACAAAAUAGCCCCCAACAGUCUACUCAGCAAACUGGAUGCAGUCUAUCCCAGUGCCAUCCGUUUUAUCACCAAAGCCCCCAUAUACUACCCACCACUGCAACCUGUAUGCUGUCGUUGGCUGGCCCUCACUACAUAUCCAUCGCCAAACCCACUGGCUCCAGGUCAUCUAUAAGUCUUUGCUAGGUAAAGCCCCGCCUUAUCUCAGCUCACUGGUCACCAUCGCAACACCCACCCGUAGCAUGCGCUCCAGCAGGUAUAUUGCAUUGGUCAUCCCCAAAGCCAACACUUCCUUUGGCCGCCUUUCCUUCCAGUUCUCUGCUACCAAUGACUGGAACGAAUUGCAAAAAUCACUGAAGCUGGAGUCUUAUAUCUCCCUCUCUAAAUUUAAGCAUCAGCUGUCAGAGCAGCUUACCGAUCGCUGCAGCUGUACACAGACAAUCUGUAAAUAGCCCAUCCAACCAACUACCUCAUCCCCAUUUUGUUAUUUAUCUUCUUGCUCUUUUGCACCCCAGUAUCUCUACUUGCACAUCAUCAUCUGCACAUCUAUCGCUCCAGUGUUAAUGCUAAGUUGUAAUUAUUUUCGCCUCUAGGGCCUAUUUGUUGCCUUACCUCCCUACUCUUCUACAUUUGCACACACUGUACAUAGAUCUUUCUAUUUUUCUUUUAUUUUGUGUUAUUGACUGUACGUUUGUUUAUGUGUAACUAACUCUGUGUUGUUGUUUUUGUCGCACUGCUUUGCUUUAUCUUGGCCAGGUCACAGUUGUAAAUGACAACUUGUUCUUAACUGGCCAACCUGGUUAAAUAAAGGUGAAAUAAAAAUAAAUAAAAGUCGUCCCUUUACCUUUCUGUGACCAGAGUGGUGUUAAAUCUGUUCUUGGGUCAGGUCUUAGUAACACACACUUACUACUUAACUUACGUCUCUCUUUAUAUAGUAUUGUACUAGAUCUGUCUGAGGCCAGUUUUUAAUAACAAUCACCUAUAUAGUAUUAGAUCUGUUCUGAGACCAGGUCUUACCUUGUCUCUCUGACUCCAGAGUGGCGGCUCUAUAGUAUUAGAUCUGUUCUGAGACCAGGUCUUACCUUGCCUCUCUGACUCCAGAGUGGCGGCUCUAUAGUAUUAGAUCUGUUCUGAGACCAGGUCUUACCUUGCAUCUCUGGCUCCAGAGUGGUGGCUCUAUAGUAUUAGAUCUGUUCUGAGACCAGGUCUUACCUUGCCUCUCUGACUCCAGAGUGGUGGCUCUAUAGUAUUAGAUCUGUUCUGAGACCAGGUCUUACCUUGCCUCUCUGGCUCCAGAGUGGGGGCUCCAGCUGACCGCGGGGCAGCAGGCCCGUCUCCAGGCAGGACAGGAAGGCCAGGAGGUGGCCGCCGGGGGGGAAGUGGAGAGGGGGGUGCUGGAUGCCAUCCUGACUAACCAGAACCAAAGUCCCACCAUAGUCCG